UGAAGCUGGAAUUGCUAGUAAUGGCAGGUCAGCAUACUGCCGUGAAUACGUUCCCGGGCCCUUGUACACACCGCCCGUCACACCAUGAGAGUUGGGAAUACCCGAAGCCUGUGAGCUAACUUAUAGAGGCAGCAGUCGAAGGUAGAAUCAAUGAUUGGGGUGAAGUCGUAACAAGGUAAC
Molecule: ribosomal RNA, 180 nt
Filed under: uncultured bacterium
Lineage: Bacteria
Description: partial 16S ribosomal RNA
Rfam family: Bacterial small subunit ribosomal RNA
Source: RNAcentral